UCCCGUUGAUCCUGCGGGAGGUUGCUGCUAUUAGAAUUCGACUAAGCCAUGCAAGUUCUGGCCCGUCUUCGGAUGGACCGGCAUAAUGCUCAGUAACACGUCGUUAAUCUACCCUAUUCUCUGGGAUAACCUUGGGAAACUGAGGAUAAUACCGGAUAUGAGAUUAUUUCUGGAAUGAUUUUUCUCUGAAAGUUUCGGCGGAGUAGGAUGAGACGGCGGCUGAUUAGGUAGUUGGCGGGGUAAUGGCCCACCAAGCCUACGAUCAGUAGGGGCCCUGAAAGGGGUAGCCCCGAGAAGGUCACUGAAACACUGGACCUAGCCCUACGGGGUGCAGCAGGCGCGAAACCUUUACAAUGCACGCAAGUGUGAUAAGGGGAUUCUAAGUGCUCAUGUUACGCAUGGGCUUUUGCCAAGAGUAAAUAUCUUGGCGAAUAAGUGGUGGGCAAGACUGGUGCCAGCAGCCGCGGUAACACCAGCGCCACGAGUGGCAACCAGAAUUAUUGGGCCUAAAGCGUUCGUAGCCGGUUAUACAAAUCUUUUGUGAAAUUGUGAAGCUCAACUUUGCAGAUGGCAGAAGACACUAUAUAACUAGGGACCGGAAGGAGUUAGGAGUAUUAAUGGGGGAGCGGUAAAAUGUUGUAAUCCCAUUAAGACUACCUGUGGCGAAGGCGCCUAACCAGUACGGAUCCGACGGUGAGGAACGAAAGCCAGGGGAGCGAUCCGGAUUAGAUACCCGAGUAGUCCUGGCCGUAAACUCUGCGAGCAAGGUGUUGCAUAUUUUACGAGAAUAUGCAGUGUCGAAACGAAGGUGUUAAGCUCGCCGCCUGGGGAGUACGGUCGCAAGACUGAAACUUAAAGGAAUUGGCGGGGGAGCACUACAAGGGGUGCGGCGUGCGGUUUAAUCGAACUUUACACCGAGAAUCUCACCAAGAGCGACGGCAGGAUGAAAGUCAGGCUAAAGACCUUACUUGACAAGCCGAGAGGUGGUGCAUGGCCGCCGCCAGCUCGUGCCGUAAGGUGUCCAGUUAAGUCUGGUAACGAGCAAGACCUGUGCCUACAAUUGCCAGCGAGCAUUUUUGUGAUCGGGCACAAUGUAGGAACUGCUUUGGAAACAAAGAGGAAGGUGCAGGCAACGGUAGGUCUGUAUGCCCCGAAUCCCUUGGGCUACACGCGCCCAACAAUGGUAAGGACAACGGGAUGCCACUCCGAAAGGAGAAGCUAAGCCUCUAAACCUUAUCUAAGUCCAGAUUGAGGGUAGUAACUCACCCUCAUGACGAUGGAAUCCCUAGUAAUCAGAAGUCAUCAGCUUCUGGUGAAUAUGUCCCUGCUCCUUGCACACACCGCCCGUCAAACCACUCGAGCAGGGUUUAGGUGAGCAUUAGCUGUAAGGUUAAUUCGAACCUAAGCUCAGUGAGAUGGGUUAAGUCGUCACAAGGUA
RNAcentral lists this ribosomal RNA (1438 nucleotides) under metagenome. Its description in RNAcentral is "bacterial SSU rRNA". It matches the Rfam family "Archaeal small subunit ribosomal RNA". The record is from RNAcentral.